RNAcentral lists this ribosomal RNA (490 nucleotides) under uncultured bacterium. RNAcentral's name for it is "partial 16S ribosomal RNA". It matches the Rfam family "Bacterial small subunit ribosomal RNA", at positions 30 to 507 of the family's 1533-position model. The record is from RNAcentral.
AUUGAACGCUGGCGGCAGGCCUAACACAUGCAAGUCGAACGGUAACAGGAAGCAGCUUGCUGCUUUGCUGACGAGUGGCGGACGGGUGAGUAAUGUCUGGGAAACUGCCUGAUGGAGGGGGAUAACUACUGGAAACGGUAGCUAAUACCGCAUAACGUCGCAAGACCAAAGAGGGGGACCUUCGGGCCUCUUGCCAUCGGAUGUGCCCAGAUGGGAUUAGCUAGUAGGUGGGGUAAAGGCUCACCUAGGCGACGAUCCCUAGCUGGUCUGAGAGGAUGACCAGCCACACUGGAACUGAGACACGGUCCAGACUCCUACGGGAGGCAGCAGUGGGGAAUAUUGCACAAUGGGCGCAAGCCUGACGCAGCCAUGCCGCGUGUAUGAAGAAGGCCUUCGGGUUGUAAAGUACUUUCAGCGGGGAGGAAGGGAGUAAAGUUAAUACCUUUGCUCAUUGACGUUACCCGCAGAAGAAGCACCGGCUAACUCCGUG